Pelobates cultripes (western spadefoot toad) is the source of this 372-nucleotide non-coding RNA. Lineage: Eukaryota; Metazoa; Chordata; Amphibia; Anura; Pelobatidae. The record is from the annotation of a GenBank genome assembly.
AGCAACAAAACAAUGCAAUUAUAAUCAAUUUGCUAGGAGUUCAAAUCAACAAGUCAAUUAAUUUACUUGACAAGCCUAUGAGUCAACAUUAUACCUGUUUUCAUUUACUAGCUUAUCAGCAAAUGACAAUAAAACAAAUACAAACUUCACAGCAGAACCCAGCAUAAGGAAUUAACAAUAUGGCACCCCUUGCAUUAGGGAAACCAUUGUUGGUGUAUUAAUUAGUUUAAAUAUCAACCAACUCUGCCAAGUACAUACCAUCAGUUUAACUACAAUAACCCGAAAGAUGUAAAGUUUCUGAUAGCCUUAGUAUAUAUUUAUUGAACUGAUAUACAUCUAAAGCAGGAAUCAAACAUUUUCCAAUUUAAUAAG